RNAcentral lists this transfer RNA (61 nucleotides) under Cemophora coccinea (scarlet snake). RNAcentral describes it as "tRNA-His". The record is from RNAcentral. Lineage: Eukaryota; Metazoa; Chordata; Lepidosauria; Squamata; Colubridae.
AGUGUAUGUAAUUUAAAAAAAAUAUCAAGCUGUGACCAUGACACUAGGACCCUCAUACACC